CUCAGGCUGCUUUACCCAUGUCUUUGGGUUAUUGCUUCACUUACAAAAGCAAAACCAGAACUCACAGACAAUGAAUUAUGGGUGUGGUUGAUGCAAGAAAGAUGAAGCAGAGUUCCAACCAGGGGAUCCAUACUAGAAAUGAAGACAGUGGGUCUCCAUCAAAAUAUUGAUGAGUGAAUACAAAUAUACAUGUUUUUAAGAGACGGGGUUUCACCAUGUUAACCAGGUUGGUCUCCAUCUCCUGACCUCGUGAUCCGCCUGCUUCAGCCUCCCGAAGUGCUGGUAUUACAGGCGUGAGCCACUGCACCCAGCCAUCUCAGGACAUUAUAUGUAAAACAAAUAUAAGAAGACUCUGAAAGUUGGAGAAAAGACGUUAGACCAUCUGGAGACCUUGGGAUCUGAGGAACAACAUAGCAUGUCAGUGAAGACCACAUGGGGACAUGGAAGCAGUGACAAGACCCCUCUACCCUCUCUCAGCAGUAAGAGGAGCCCCUCCCCAUCCCAGGUGUCAACAGAGGCUGAGUGGGAACCUGGACUUCUACCCCCACCUGGUAGUAACAAGACAGGCUCCACCCCUUUCUUUGCCAGAGUGGUGUUGGAAGAAGCCAAUAAAAACAAAAGGUGUAAAUGAGACUGAGCGUCUCAUAACGUGAUAUCCAAAAUGUCUAGCUUUCCAUCGAAGAUCAUAUCAAGAGCCAGGAAAAUCUCAACUUGAAUGGAAAAAGACAAUCAAUAGAUCCCAACAUCAAAAUGACAGAGAUGGCAGAAUUAUCUGACAAAUAUUUUAAAGACAGCCAUUAUAUAAAUGUUUGAAAUAAACUAUUACAAACAUACUUGAAACAAACAAAAAAUAGAAAGUCUCAGCAGAAGUAUAGAAGAUAUAAAGAAGAACCAGAUAAAAAUUUUAGAACCGAAAAAUACAAAAGCCGAAACAAAAGACAACAGCAGAAUAAACGAGACAGGAAGAAAAUCAAUGAACUUGAAGAUAGAGCAGCAGAAAUUAAGCAAUAUGAAUAACAGAGAGAAAAUAGACUAAAAAAAUGAAAAGAACCUCAGGGACUUAGGAAACUAUAACAAAAGAUCUAACAUUCCUGUCACUGGAGUCUUGCAAGGAGAGAAGAAAAAGGGCGGGGCUAAGAAAAGGACACAAAGAAAUCAUAGCUAAAAGCUUCCAAAAAAAGUGAUGUAAUCUUAUUGGCAAUUAAGAAUUCAAAUUGAAUAAUAAAAUGACAUUUUUAUCCUUUGCUUCUCUAAUUGGCAAAAAAUAUUUAUGAUUGAUGACAUUGCAUAUUAGUAGGUAUAUGAGAAAUGAGGAUUCUUACAGUUAGUGACAGUUUAAAUUGAUGAUAUGUUUUUCAUUAAGUUUUUCUGAAUUGUCUAUUGCUAUCAAAAUUGUAAAUGUGCACAUUCCCUGAUGCUGAAAUUACACUUCCAGAAAUAAAUCUAUCCCAUGAAAU
This 1457-nucleotide long non-coding RNA is filed under the name Homo sapiens (human). Its description in RNAcentral is "PREDICTED lncRNA (TCONS_00064085)". The record is from RNAcentral. Lineage: Eukaryota; Metazoa; Chordata; Mammalia; Primates; Hominidae.